Molecule: ribosomal RNA, 492 nt
Filed under: uncultured bacterium
Lineage: Bacteria
Description: partial 16S ribosomal RNA
Rfam family: Bacterial small subunit ribosomal RNA
Source: RNAcentral
AGUGAACGCUGGCGGUAGGCCUAACACAUGCGAGUCGAACGGCAGCACAGUAAGAGCUUGCUCUUACGGGUGGCGAGUGGCGGACGGGUGAGGAAUACAUCGGAAUCUACUUUUUCGUGGGGGAUAACGUAGGGAAACUUACGCUAAUACCGCAUACGACCUACGGGUGAAAGCAGGGGAUCUUCGGACCUUGCGCGAUUGAAUGAGCCGAUGUCGGAUUAGCUAGUUGGCGGGGUAAAGGCCCACCAAGGCGACGAUCCGUAGCUGGUCUGAGAGGAUGAUCAGCCACACUGGAACUGAGACACGGUCCAGACUCCUACGGGAGGCAGCAGUGGGGAAUAUUGGACAAUGGGCGAAAGCCUGAUCCAGCCAUACCGCGUGGGUGAAGAAGGCCUUCGGGUUGUAAAGCCCUUUUGUUGGGAAAGAAAAGCAGCAGGUUAAUACCCCGCUGUUCUGACGGUACCCAAAGAAUAAGCACCGGCUAACUUCGUG